CUCGUAGGCGGUUCGUCGCGUCCGGUGUGAAAGUCCAUCGCUUAACGGUGGAUCUGCGCCGGGUACGGGCGGGCUGGAGUGCGGUAGGGGAGACUGGAAUUCCCGGUGUAACGGUGGAAUGUGUAGAUAUCGGGAGGAACACCAGUGGCGAAGGCGGCUUCCUGGCCGGAUACUGACGCUCAAGUGCGAAAGCUGGGGGAGCGAACG
Molecule: ribosomal RNA, 207 nt
Filed under: uncultured bacterium
Lineage: Bacteria
Description: partial 16S ribosomal RNA
Rfam family: Bacterial small subunit ribosomal RNA
Source: RNAcentral